AGCAGCCGCGGUAAUUCCAGCUCCAAUAGCGUAUAUUAAAGUUGUUGCAGUUAAAAAGCUCGUAGUUGAAUUUUGGAUUCUUCCAAUUGGUCCAUCUUUUAGAUGAGUACUGGUUGUGUGGGGUCUAUCCGCCUGGUGAUACGUAAUGUCCUUUAUUGGAUGUUUCGGGUAGUCAGGACCUUUACCUUGAAAAAAUUAGAGUGUUUAAAGCAGGCUUAUGCCGGAAUACAUUAGCAUGGAAUAAUAGAAUAGGACGAAGUUGUUUUAUUUGUUGGUUUCUAGGACAACCGUAAUGAUUAAUAGGGAUAGUUGGGGGCAUUAGUAUUCAAUUGUCAGAGGUGAAAUUCUUGGAUUUAUUGAAGACUAACUACUGCGAAAGCAUUUGCCAAGGAUGUUUUCAUUAAUCAAGAACGAAAGUUAGGGGAUCGAAGACGAUCAGAUACCGUCGUAGUCUUAACCAUAAACUAUGCCGACUAGGGAUCGGGCGAUGUUGUUUCCAUGACUCGCUCGGCACCUUAUG
RNAcentral lists this small RNA (520 nucleotides) under uncultured Archaeospora. RNAcentral's name for it is "SSU rRNA". It matches the Rfam family "Eukaryotic small subunit ribosomal RNA", at positions 569 to 1092 of the family's 1831-position model. Lineage: Eukaryota; Fungi; Glomeromycota; Glomeromycetes; Archaeosporales; Archaeosporaceae. The record is from RNAcentral.